GACAGAGGGUGCAAACGUUGUUCGGAAUUACUGGGCGUAAAGCGCGCGUAGGCGGCUUUGCAAGUCGGGUGUGAAAUCCCCAGGCUUAACCUGGGAAUUGCAUUCGAGACUGCAUUGCUAGAGUAUGGGAGAGGGAAGUGGAAUUUCCGGUGUAGCGGUGAAAUGCGUAGAUAUCGGAAGGAACAUCAGUGGCGAAAGCGACUUCCUGGACCAAUACUGACGCUCAUGUGCGAAAGCGUGGGGAGCAAACAGGG
RNAcentral lists this ribosomal RNA (254 nucleotides) under uncultured bacterium. RNAcentral's name for it is "partial 16S ribosomal RNA". It matches the Rfam family "Bacterial small subunit ribosomal RNA", at positions 524 to 777 of the family's 1533-position model. The record is from RNAcentral.